Molecule: long non-coding RNA, 2204 nt
Organism: Alosa sapidissima (American shad)
Lineage: Eukaryota; Metazoa; Chordata; Actinopteri; Clupeiformes; Clupeidae
Exons: 2
Source: RefSeq, a predicted model, not a curated record
UUUGUUUAUGCCCGCGAAAUUGCGGUGAAACUGAAGGUUCCAUCACCUCAGUGAGGAGAAGGCUCAUCAGUCACGGUCCGGGUUUGCACUGGAGAGAGAGAGGAUACUUUGCUGCCUGUUGUUUGUGGAGACCAUUGGACAAGUUCAUAGGCCCACUUCCUCCGUAACAUCGGCGCAUCGUACUUGUUUACUCCUUCUCUUUUAAGUUACCGGUCAAGUGCUGGUCAGACUUUCCGCUAGCUAUUUGUCAGUGCUAUUUUGUAGCUGAAGCUAUCCUGACCUGGGUAGCUGACUUGCUAGCUCCUGUUGCAUUCUCCUUCGGAGACGGACUCGAUUUGUGCUUCGGUGCUGGGCCCACCGGAGCCAGACCUUCUAAGGACGACUGCGUUUUGCCUCCGGUGCUGAGCCCACCGGAGUGCCAACCGCCAACUACCCGCUGCUGUUGAGGUUUGCUGGCUGACUGCAGCAACAUCCUCCACUGGAGUCGCAUCCUCGGCUAGCUGGGACAUAGCUGCCUCCAAUUCCUGAGUCAGGACUAAGCGGAAUCUCCCGGUUCUGAGUGAUUGGUCGUUUUCCAGGAUGACUCAUGGUCAGAGCAGGAUCCUUCAAAAUGACUUACCAAUGUCCUUUAGAGGCUCCACAACCUCCCACUUCGGAUCUGACCUGAAGAACAUGGAUACUUGCUGUAAGGCUAUUUCUGAGGAUAAAGAGAAAUUGGGUCAUUUCAGAAUACAAACAUAAUAGAAACAGUACAUGUACAAAAACAGUGCAUCUGCACUGGGGUAGUGUUUCAGAGAACAGGUUUGACAAAGUCUGAGACUAACCCUGAACUCUAGUUGAUCUACCCUGAUAUGGUAAAAAUGUAAUCUUUCGGUUCAAAAACAGCUGACCUGAGUUAGCUGAGUUUGCCACCAUGGCAACGGGCGCCACUGGCAACCUGACCUCACUUCAUACUUUCCCAUCUGGAAGUUCUAAUACUAGUAUGUGCUUGUCUGUUCUAUAUCAAUGCUCUUUUUAAUGGUAAUUAUAACAACCAUAGUAAAUGAUAGUUGAACUAGGAAGCAUAGUUACAUGUAACUUAACUACCCACUAUUAUCACUAUCAGGACCAAAGACAGUAGUACAACAAACUGUCGGCUUCUUUUUAAACUGAACUACUUGUUUCCUUUGCGUGCUAUAAAGGCAUGACUAUUGCCUAUAUGCAGUACAUAGUGGCAACUGCGGGAUAAGCCAGAUGACGGAUGGCGUGGAUAAUGGACUUGGUUCUAACCCCAACCCUAACCCUAACUCUAAACCUAACCCUAACUUGUUCAAUUUAAAAAACUGACCUGAUUUAACAACAGGGAAUGGUGGAACAAUGGAUAAAAAAAAGCUUCACAGUGUCAGUUGUGGUAACUAAUUCUGAGUUUGACUCACAUUGGAAUGGAAAGCCCAGAAUUUCCCUCAUCUCAGGGUUAAUAACCUCAGACUUCAAACAAAACCUGUUUUCUGGAAUAUCCCUUUAUCUAAGGUCAUCUUGUCCCUUACCAGUGUAGUUUGUGGAGUAAUUAUUAGUGUCAAGGAACUUUUUAACCAGCUCACAACUGGAUAGGAUGUGGUGCUGUGUGAUGAAGUUCAGAUAGGUCUGCAGUCCUUUCUGACGUUCAGCUAUGAACUCUCUAUCCAUAUUCCCAAUGAGCUUCUUUGGGGGAAGAGGUAGGCUGAGGCCAGAAAUCUGUAAGACAGACGAUUAUAGUCAAUUGGUUGCCUAUGGAAGGCUAUGCUAAGGAAUAUGGUCUUCAGGAAAUUGGUCAGUAAAAUGUCAGCAAAAAGCCAUGCAAGCAACAUCCUCUUUUUGUCUUUUUUUAUGAAAUAUGACAGACUAGCACUUUUAUCAAGUAUGUAGCACAUGUUAACAAAGGUAAUGGUACAGAAUGAGAAUGUGUUUUCAAAGAAUACUUUGAUUAUAGAACUUACCAAUAGGCUGUUAUUCAACAUAUCGAAGUCACUGUAUCUCCUAAUGACCUGAAUAUAAUAUUAAAAGUUAGAUAAAUAAGAAGAAAAAAAAAAACCUUUGAAGCAAGGAGCACAUGUAAGUCUUGUAAGACCUGUUUAAAACUGACCUACCUGCCAACUGUUUUCUGUUGUGACACCUCUCUGCACACGAAUGAUGUAUUCCUAGUUGAAAGAAAAAAGUAAUUGAUCAAUAAAACAAAAUUACAAUUA